RNAcentral lists this ribosomal RNA (653 nucleotides) under uncultured Veillonellaceae bacterium. RNAcentral's name for it is "bacterial SSU rRNA". It matches the Rfam family "Bacterial small subunit ribosomal RNA", at positions 18 to 655 of the family's 1533-position model. The record is from RNAcentral. Lineage: Bacteria; Bacillati; Bacillota; Negativicutes; Veillonellales; Veillonellaceae.
CCUGGCUCAGGACGAACGCUGGCGGCGUGCUUAACACAUGCAAGUCGAACGGAGAUUCAGCAAUGGAUCUAAGUGGCGAACGGGUGAGUAACGCGUAGGCAAUCUGCCUUCUAGAUGGGGACAACAUCCCGAAAGGGGUGCUAAUACCGAAUGUUGUAUGAUCUUCGCAUGGAGAUGAUACUAAAGGUGGCCUCUGAAUAUGCUACCGCUAGAAGAUGAGCCUGCGUCUGAUUAGCUAGUUGGAGGGGUAACGGCCCACCAAGGCCUCGAUCAGUAGCCGGUCUGAGAGGAUGAACGGCCACACUGGGACUGAGACACGGCCCAGACUCCUACGGGAGGCAGCAGUGGGGAAUCUUCCGCAAUGGACGAAAGUCUGACGGAGCAACGCCGCGUGAGUGAAGAAGGUUUUCGGAUCGUAAAGCUCUUUCGUUAGGGACGAACGUGCUCUUUGUGAAUAAUGAGGAGUAAUGACGGUACCUAAAUAAGAAGCCACGGCUAACUACGUGCCAGCAGCCGCGGUAAUACGUAGGUGGCAAGCGUUGUCCGGAAUUAUUGGGCGUAAAGCGCGCGCAGGCGGGAUAUCAAGUCUGUCUUAAAAGUGCGAGGCUCAACCUCGUGAGGGGACAGAAACUGGUAUUCUUGAGUGUCGGAGA